AGUAACGGCGAGUGAAGCGGUAAAAGCUCAAAUUUGAAAUCUGGUACUUUCAGUGCCCGAGUUGUAAUUUGUAGAAUUUGUCUUUGAUUAGGUCCUUGUCUAUGUUCCUUGGAACAGGACGUCAUAGAGGGUGAGAAUCCCGUUUGGCGAGGAUACCUUUUCUCUGUAAGACUUUUUCGAAGAGUCGAGUUGUUUGGGAAUGCAGCUCAAAGUGGGUGGUAAAUUCCAUCUAAAGCUAAAUAUUGGCGAGAGACCGAUAGCGAACAAGUACAGUGAUGGAAAGAUGAAAAGAACUUUGAAAAGAGAGUGAAAAAGUACGUGAAAUUGUUGAAAGGGAAGGGCAUUUGAUCAGACAUGGUGUUUUUUGCAUGCACUCGCCUCUCGUGGGCUUGGGCCUCUCAAAAAUUUCACUGGGCCAACAUCAAUUCUGGCAGCAGGAUAAAUCAUUAAGAAUGUAGCUACUUCGGUAGUGUUAUAGCUUUUUGGAAUACUGUUAGCCGGGAUUGAGGACUGCGCUUCGGCAAGGAUGUUGGCAUAAUGGUUAAAUGCCGCCCGUCUUGAACAACGGACCAA
RNAcentral lists this ribosomal RNA (573 nucleotides) under Hanseniaspora uvarum. Its description in RNAcentral is "eukaryotic LSU rRNA". It matches the Rfam family "Eukaryotic large subunit ribosomal RNA", at positions 82 to 669 of the family's 3401-position model. The record is from RNAcentral. Lineage: Eukaryota; Fungi; Ascomycota; Saccharomycetes; Saccharomycodales; Saccharomycodaceae.